CCUACGGGAGGCAGCAGUAGGGAAUCUUUCACAAUGGGCGAAAGCCUGAUGGAGCAACGCCGCGUGCAGGAUGAAGGCCUUCGGGUUGUAAACUGCUUUUAUAAGCGAGAAAUAUGAUGGUAACUUAUGAAUAAGGAUCGGCUAACUACGUGCCAGCAGCCGCGGUCAUACGUAGGAUCCGAGCAUUAUCCGGAGUGACUGGGUGUAAAGAGUUGCGUAGGUGGCAUAAUAAGUAGCUAGUGAAAUCUGGUGGCUCAACCAUUCAGACUAUUAGCUAAACUGUUAAGCUCGAGACCGUUAGGUGUAACUGGAAUUUCUAGUGUAGGAGUGAAAUCCGUAGAUAUUAGAAGGAACACCAAUAGCGUAGGCAGGUUGCUGGGACGGUUCUGACACUAAGGCACGAAAGCGUAGGGAGCAAACGGGAUUAGAUACCCGAGUAGUC
This 442-nucleotide ribosomal RNA is filed under the name uncultured bacterium. RNAcentral describes it as "partial 16S ribosomal RNA". It matches the Rfam family "Bacterial small subunit ribosomal RNA", at positions 338 to 795 of the family's 1533-position model. The record is from RNAcentral.